RNAcentral lists this non-coding RNA (109 nucleotides) under Paramoeba aestuarina. The record is from RNAcentral. Lineage: Eukaryota; Discosea; Flabellinia; Dactylopodida; Paramoebidae.
CCUUGUCUUCUUCUACUUCUUCAAGUUCUAAGAAACAUCCAUACAAAAUUCAUGUCAGAGGUAUUACUGAAGCUCAACUCAGGGGGCAAUCUGUCUCUCUUUCUCUCCC